RNAcentral lists this transfer RNA (65 nucleotides) under Dacus durbanensis. RNAcentral's name for it is "tRNA-Asn". Lineage: Eukaryota; Metazoa; Arthropoda; Insecta; Diptera; Tephritidae. The record is from RNAcentral.
UUAAUUGAAGCCAAAAAGAGGCUUAUCACUGUUAAUGAUAGAACUGAGAUUUAUCUCCAAUUAAG